UCUCAAACCCGGAGUGCCUACCUUCUUCCCUUCCCCAGUACUUCAUGGAUCCUGCCUUUUUAAUCAGUCUCAGGCCCUCUGUUAGCUCUCUGCAGAACCUCCACCGUCAAUGCACAGGACCGCUGAAAUCAGCGGGGCGUGCCUUCCUGCUGCUGCGGCGGCGGGACUCCCCAGUAGGUGACUGGAUCCCGGACGAGCCCCCAAAUUGUGAGAAACUCUGUAGCCAAUAACAUAGGCUCAGGCGAGGAUCUCAGUGAAGUAGCAAUUGUAUUCAUGAUUGCAAUGGUGGGUGUCCCAUAAGCAGGAGCAUGCCUACUAGUCACACGGUACAGUUUAUAUAUUUUAUUACUCGGCGACCAGGACCCUCCCCUGUUUCCCCAUUGACUGGGUAAUCCAGGUUCACAACCUAUUCGAUGCUUCACAGACAAUACAUGGCCUUUAGUUGCCAGCCUGUUAUUAGUCAAAUUUCUUUUGACUUUUUUACUCUUUGAGGUGGUAAUGUUUCUUAAACAGUGAAUAUCCACCUAAUUGCUCUAAGGAUUCUGGUUGUCUGCAUUUUACAAGGUUGUCUGUUUUAAUAAAUACUAAAAUUCCAAAUAGGAUUUUAAUCAAAGUUU
This is a long non-coding RNA of Oxyura jamaicensis (ruddy duck), 617 nucleotides long. RefSeq lists it as uncharacterized. The transcript has 3 exons. NCBI's taxonomy places the organism in Eukaryota, Metazoa, Chordata, Aves, Anseriformes, Anatidae. The record is from RefSeq and is a predicted model, not a curated record.